UAAUAGAAUCAUGAAUGAUACCAAUGAAAAGAAUAGGCUAUUGGAGCCUGAAAGAUGUUGAUUACAGCUAAUUUAGGAAAGGCUUUCCUGAGGAAGUAAUAUGUAAGUAAAAACUGCUGUCAAAGUUGGCCAGUGAAUUGCUUCCAUGUCAUUGUUUAAUCCUUGGGAAAAAACCAACUGUGAUUGGAUUGGGAAGAUGCUAUCUGAAAACAGCUAUUUCCAUCUGGGGCCCAGAAGAGCAAAAACCUGGAAAUCAGUCCUUGAAUGCUGCCUUUGCCAUAUUCAUUUCAGUCUGGGGUAUUAGACCAUAUUUACCUUUUUUUUUGGACAUCAGGAAGUCUAUAUAAGAGUGUUUAAGGGAAAAAAGUGAAUAUGAUUAAAAAGAAUGUCUUCAGCACUUUAUUCAAGUGACUAUACUCAGUCCCUUGGAGACAUCCCUCCAGAAAUGGAAACCAAUCAAGUAACAAAUAUUCAUCCCCUUUUAUGGGUCCAACACUGAACUAAACACAAGAGGAAGGAACAGACUCAGAGGUGGGUAUCUCCUAAACCAUUUCCUCCAUUUGAACAGUUAUGCAUUCUGUCUUCAUUGCCUUAGGGAAAGGAAACACAGAUAAAUCAGAUUACAGAAGAGGUUGGUAACCUGGAAGAGCCUUAUCUGGUCUCACCUGGGAUUGUUCAAGCUACAAUUAUCUGACAGCUUCUGUGUGGCUGGAGGAUCCAAGGUGUCCUCACUCAGAUGUGUGACAGUUGGUGCUGGAUGUUGGUGGAAAUUCCUGUUUUCCUCCACAUGAUCACCCAUCCUCUGAUAAGUUGAACUGGGCUUCUUCACCACGUUGAGGUGGUAGGGUGACAAGAAGAUGAGAAUGGAAGCUGCAAGAAUAGGAGGUCACCUCAACCCCAAGUAUGGAUUACGAUCAAGAGGUACAGGACUGGAGCUUCAUUUGGAUUACUGCAGUGAUUAACAUUAUGGCUGAGCACAGAGGAUUGAAAAUUCUAAGUAUCACUUCUAAAGAUCUGAAAAUUGAAGGAGCAGACUGUUGGCAGUAAUGAGUUACAAAUGGCAACUUGUAUUUUGUUUGGAAAAUCACUUCUUUCCUUGAGGAAUUAUGUUUUGUAUUGAUUUUCAGACUGUUUGGUCUUCAGAGAGGUACUUGUGAUUUUGAGGAACAGUGUAAUUGUAUCUUCAAAUUAAAUGUAAUAUAGACUGUUGAUAGCAUAUUUUCUAAGCUCUUUAAAUUAAAACUAACUUUACCCCUGUGCCGAAGAAUCCAAGUAGUUCAAGGUUAAACAGUGUGUCACUGUGAUGUCAGGUAUGCCUCAACUUUACUCCUUUAAAAAAUGUUCUAGUCCAUGGUUUCUUUUCCUACUUCAAUAGAAAAACGUUGACAUAAAUUAAAAGUGAGCAUUGACUUGCUCUUUUGGGAACUGCCCCCUCCUUUUUUUCCUGUACUGACAUUAAAAUCAUUCAUUUCAUUUUGCCUAGAAACAAAAUCUGUUAUAUCAGUUUUCCAUGUACAUUUUGCCUGAGAAAAAAUGUGGAAGACAGCUGUUUUAAUGUUGAAAUGGAUCCAGUUUCUAUUAAGUAUGUCCUCAGAGCUUUUGGGGGUUUAUUUUUAACUCUGACAGAAUUAAUUUAGAAUAGGACAUAAGUGACCAUUCUGUCCCUGUCUAAUUUUCUGGAGAAUGUGUGGUCACCUAUGCUUUUGAUUAUGCAGUAGAAAUGUGCACUUUCAAGUAAACACAGAAAGUAUUAUUGCAGGGCACAACAAUGUGUCUACUCAACUCCUUCUGCAGUCAUUUGAGUUGACUAACAUUUUCAUUUGAUUAAGAAUUUAAAAUAAGUUAGUCAUUCAUUUAAAUCAGCGCACCUGAGGCACCUGGGUGGUUCAGUGGUUGAGAGACUGUCU
This is a long non-coding RNA of Canis lupus familiaris (dog), 1907 nucleotides long. RefSeq lists it as uncharacterized. NCBI's taxonomy places the organism in Eukaryota, Metazoa, Chordata, Mammalia, Carnivora, Canidae. The transcript is spliced from 9 exons. The record is from RefSeq and is a predicted model, not a curated record.